RNAcentral lists this ribosomal RNA (507 nucleotides) under uncultured bacterium. RNAcentral's name for it is "partial 16S ribosomal RNA". It matches the Rfam family "Bacterial small subunit ribosomal RNA", at positions 30 to 523 of the family's 1533-position model. The record is from RNAcentral.
AUUGAACGCUGGCGGCAUGCCUUACACAUGCAAGUCGAACGGCAGCGGGGGAGAAGCUGCUUUUCCUGCCGGCGAGUGGCGAACGGGUGAGUAAUACAUCGGAACGUGCCCUGUAGUGGGGGAUAACUAGUCGAAAGAUUAGCUAAUACCGCAUACGACCUGAGGGUGAAAGUGGGGGACCGCAAGGCCUCAUGCUAUAGGAGCGGCCGAUGUCUGAUUAGCUAGUUGGUGGGGUAAAGGCCUACCAAGGCGACGAUCAGUAGCUGGUCUGAGAGGACGAUCAGCCACCCUGGGACUGAGACACGGCCCAGACUCCUACGGGAGGCAGCAGUGGGGAAUUUUGGACAAUGGGCGAAAGCCUGAUCCAGCAAUGCCGCGUGUGUGAAGAAGGCCUUCGGGUUGUAAAGCACUUUUGUCCGGAAAGAAAUGGCUCUGGUUAAUACCUGGGGUCGAUGACGGUACCGGAAGAAUAAGGACCGGCUAACUACGUGCCAGCAGCCGCGGUAA